Homo sapiens (human) is the source of this 999-nucleotide long non-coding RNA. Lineage: Eukaryota; Metazoa; Chordata; Mammalia; Primates; Hominidae. The record is from Ensembl.
UGAGCUGGGGGUCUGGGAGGAGGUGUGAGCUGGGGGUCUGGGAGGAGGUGUGAGCUGGGGGUCUGGCAGGAGGUGGGAGCUGGGGGUCUGGGAGGAGGUGUGAGCUGGGGGUCUGGGAGGAGGUGGGAGCUGGGGGUCUGGGAGGAGAUGGGAGCUGGGGGUCAGGAGGAGGAGGUGUGAGCUGGGGGUCUGGGGAGGACGUGGGAGCUGGGGGUCUGGGCAGAGGAGGGUCACAGAAGCAGGACAUGACUUGGGACAGGGCAGAGGCUUGUGCAGGCACAGGGCUGGGAGCCGGGCCACAUUCCCUCCUUGGUGUGGGGUGAGGGGCACCCCAGCUUGGGGACAGGGGCGCUGGCACUCAGGCAGCCCCGACGUUGUCCUGGGUUCACUGUGCUGGGGCGGGGGCUCCUACUGGGGCUCUGUGGUCCCACAGCCAAAGCCCCGCUUUCCUAAUCACACGUUGGGGCUUCGGCAGGAACCUCAGCAGGACCUCGGGGGGACCUCGGCAGGAACCUCGGUGGGGACCUCGGUGGGGAGCUUGGCGGGGACCUCGGGGGGAACCUCGGGGGGGGACCUCGGGGGGAACCUCGGGGGGAACCUCGGCGGGGACCUCGGUGGGGACCUCGGGCAGAACUUCGGGGAGAACCUCGGCGGGAACCUUGGCGGGGACCCUGGCGGGAACCUCGGGGGGAACCUUGAGGGGGGAUCCUCGGCGGGGAGCCUCGGCGGGAACCUCGGGGGGGAUCCUCUGGGGGGAACCUCAGAGCCGAACCUUGGGGGGCCCUCAGGGGGGAACUUCGGGGGGGACCUCGGCGUGAACCUCAGCGGGGCCAGGCUUGUGGCAACUUGGGCCUGGCUGUUCUCUUGGAAGGACGUUUCCAGCCUCUGGGCCCCAGAAGACCCUGGCACGUCCACUGCCCUCACUGGAAUGGGACCACCUCCACCUCCCGGGGCCCCAAGGCCCGGGUCCCGGGCACAGGUCGCCUCUUUCCUCCUCAA